CCUGCCACCAUGUAAGAUGUUCCUUUGCUCUUCCUUCACCUUCUGCCAUGAUUGUGAAGCCUCCCCAGCCAUAUGGAACUGGAUGGAGUCUCACUAUGCUGCUCAAGGUGGUCUCAAACUCCUCGGCUUAAGUGAUCCCUCUGCCUCAGCUUCCUAAGUGCUGUCAUUACAGUUGUUUUUAUCAUUUAAAAGGUGACUAGGGCAAUGGGAUUACCUCUGAUAUCAGAGAGUUGGCAAUCAUGUAACCCUGAAAGUCAUGGCACAAUAUGGCAGAACAAGCACGUCUGGGGCCUGGGAGUCCUGAGGUACUCUAGUAAUUGUGGUUUUCCUCAUACUCUCUGGAUCUGGGGUGACCCAGAACACAGUCAUAAUUCUUGAACUGUUUGCAAGUGCAAACCUUGAGAUCUUCCCAAGCCAGUCACCCAGUCGAUAAUCAGCUCAAGAUCAUCCCUAUACCCCGAGUAGAAUUAGUUGUCAAUAUUUAGGGCACAAAAUUCAUUUUGGUGAGAUGCCCUAGGCCAUUGACACUAGUCAUAUAAUAAUCUAAUGUGUUUGCUGCAAUGACACAUUGCAGCCCUAUGUCCUCUGAGUUCUGGCUCUAAUGUGGUAUUUCUUUACACUAGCUUUCUCAAUAAUAUGAACAGCCUGCCUAUGAACUGAAAUGUGAAGUAUGAUACCCACUAUUAUAUAUCUUUCCUUACUGCAAGUCCAACUAAUGGUUAUUAAUAUGAACAACUUACCUCCUGCUUGCUUUCAGCUCCCGAAUUUUUAUUGUCUGUACUUUUCCUGUAGUGAAGUAGUUUCAUAGCUCAGCAAAGCCUCAGAAUUUUUUAUGAACAGUCUCUAAAAGGCAGCUAGAUCUAGCUCUAAGACAUCAAGCAAAUGACCCAGGACUUGUUAUUUUUCUUGUUGGUUUCUGCGUAGCUAAGGCAAAGGCUUUUUCUUGGCCUCCACUCAGCAAUAUGCAAAAAGCUGAAGCUUUUAAAGUGGGAGAAGAAACAGAAGGAACAGAGGAGGUAAUUGAGAAUUAGUCACAUUUGUUAUUUUUAGCACUGCCUGAUUUUGUCUGGAAAUGGAAGUGAAACUAUAAAAACAGGAAGAAACAUUGUGCAUUGAACUUCAAAGCUGAGAUAUGAGACUCUAGCUUACUUCUAAGAAAUGCUUGAUUUCAUACAAAACAGUAGUUAUUUCUUUUCCUGGAAUCUUCGAGAUUCUCUCCUCAUUCAGGCUUGGUAUACAAUCACUUGUUCAGUGAGCCUUCUUCAACCCCAAUCCAAUCAACUCCCAGGCCCUGUCUUUCAUUUUGUCCUUAUCGCUAUCAUUACCUUUUAUUACUCACUAUUUGUUAAUUUGUUUCUUUACCUUUUUUGUCCAUUGGAACACAAGAUUUAUAACCAGAGGCAUCAUUUCUUUCUUGUUCGUUACUGCAAAGAACAAAACCCGCACAAAGAAGACUCUCAGGAAAUGCUGGCUGAAUGACAGAAUGAACAUUGAUAAAUGAAGACUUCUUCAAAUAACUGAUGCUAGACAUCUCUAAAUAUAUCAGAAAUAACAUGUGACCAUGACAUCAUUCAUCAUUUUUCCAUCAAAACAUUUGAAAAUAACUUGGAUUCAUUUAUUAGAGCUUUAUUUUCCCACAUCUUGCAGUACCCUAGAGUUCUACAGUAAUUAACCUUAUGCUGAAUGGCAGAGGACAUGCACUAAGCUCCUAUUUAAAAUCUAUUCAUGAUGCAUUUUAAAUAUUCAGUAGAGACUUCUUAAACAUGCAGCCAUAGUCUAUUGAAAAUGGAUUUCCUAAAGCCAGGAGAUUGGAUAUUAAUAUCUGGCAUUCGUAUAAAGACAGGUUUUUGUUAACCUAUUAUAAAAAGGACUGAUGAUGUGAUUAUAUACUGUUUACUAGCUCACUUAUAUUUCUGUGCUAAUAAUUACUGUAACCCAUUUGUUUAGUUUUUUUAUUUUAUUUUCAUUAAGCAUUGUUUUUAAAAUUUUUUUAUCUUAGCUUAUGUUUGAUUUAUGUUUUUGAUUGAAUAAAGG
RNAcentral lists this long non-coding RNA (2034 nucleotides) under Homo sapiens (human). Its description in RNAcentral is "HSALNT0373720". Lineage: Eukaryota; Metazoa; Chordata; Mammalia; Primates; Hominidae. The record is from RNAcentral.